GUAGGUGGCAAGCGUUGUCCGGAAUUAUUGGGGCGUAAAGCGCGCGCAGGCGGUUCUUUAAGUCUGAUGUGAAAGCCCACGGGCUCGACCGUGGAGGGUCAUUGGAAACUGGAGAACUUGAGUACAGAAGAGGAAAGCGGAAUUCCACGUGUAGCGGUGAAAUGCGUAGAGAUGUGGAGGAACACCAGUGGCGAAGGCGGCUUUCUGGUCUGUAACUGACGCUGAGGCGCGAAAGCGUGGGGAGCAAACAGGAUUAGAUACCCUGGUAGUCCACGCCGUAAACGAUGAGUGCUAAGUGUUAGGGGGUUUCCGCCCCUUAGUGCUGCAGCUAACGCAUUAAGCACUCCGCCUGGGGAGUACGGCCGCAAAGGCUG
This 374-nucleotide ribosomal RNA is filed under the name uncultured organism. RNAcentral's name for it is "partial 16S ribosomal RNA". It matches the Rfam family "Bacterial small subunit ribosomal RNA", at positions 527 to 896 of the family's 1533-position model. The record is from RNAcentral.